GCUUAGCGUUGCGCGGGCAGUGGGUACGGGCUGACUAGAGUGCAGUAGGGGAGUCUGGAAUUCCUGGUGUAGCGGUGAAAUGCGCAGAUAUCAGGAGGAACACCGGUGGCGAAGGCGGGACUCUGGGCUGUGACUGACACUGAGGAGCGAAAGCAUGGGGAGCGAACAGGAUUAGAUACCCUGGUAGUCCAUGCCGUAAACGUUGGGCACUAGGUGUGGGGGACAUUCCACGUUUUCCGCGCCGUAGCUAACGCAUUAAGUGCCCCGCCUGGGGAGUACGGUCGCAAGGCUAAAACUCAAAGGAAUUGACGGGGGCCCGCACAAGCGGCGGAGCAUGCGGAUUAAUUCGAUGCAACGCGAAGAACCUUACCAAGGCUUGACAUACACCGGACACGCUUAGAAACAGGUGCUCCCUUUGGGGCUGGUGUACAGGUGGUGCAUGGUUGUCGUCAGCUCGUGUCGUGAGAUGUUGGGUUAAGUCCCGCAACGAGCGCAACCCUCGUUCUAUGUUGCCAGCACGUGAUGGUGGGAACUCAUAGGAGACUGCCGGGGUCAACUCGGAGGAAGGUGGGGAUGACGUCAAAUCAUCAUGCCCUUUAUGUCUUGGGCUUCACGCAUGCUACAAUGGCCGGUACAGAG
Molecule: ribosomal RNA, 639 nt
Filed under: uncultured bacterium
Lineage: Bacteria
Description: bacterial SSU rRNA
Rfam family: Bacterial small subunit ribosomal RNA
Source: RNAcentral